RNAcentral lists this transfer RNA (72 nucleotides) under Kastovskya adunca ATA6-11-RM4. Its description in RNAcentral is "tRNA-Gly". It matches the Rfam family "tRNA". Rfam says of the family: Transfer RNA (tRNA) molecules are approximately 80 nucleotides in length. Their secondary structure includes four short double-helical elements and three loops (D, anti-codon, and T loops). Lineage: Bacteria; Bacillati; Cyanobacteriota; Cyanophyceae; Coleofasciculales; Coleofasciculaceae. The record is from RNAcentral. RNAcentral also lists the same sequence under 1 other name.
GCGGGUGUGAUGUAGCGGCUAGCAUCUGAGUGCGCCACACUCAGUGCAUGGGUUCAAGUCCCAUCACCCGCU